UUUGGUAGUGUCGAUCAAAGUAAGACAUGCUUUUCUCCUUCGAUUAAAACUAACGCAUGUGCUCUCUCUCUCUCUCUAUCUCAACUUUUUCGUUUGAUUGUUUUCUACUAAAAUUUAAAAAAUUCUAAGUGUUAACCACCAAAAUAAAUUCCUGUAAACAUCUCUCUCAAAUUAAUGAAAUUAUACUUUGAUUGUCAAUCCAUUUUCAUGUUCAUUGAUAUCAAGUAUUUAUCAUUCUCUCGUUUUUUCAAUUUUCACUCAUUUACUACCAUUUCACACCUUUUCUCCCGUUCUGGCAUUCUCUACCGAUUCGUCAUUUUGGAGGAAGGAGAAGAGUUCACCAGCAGGAUUUUUUCUUCACAGAUCGUGCGCAGCUUCUGCAUGGGUCGUUCAAGCUCCUCCAUGGGUAAAGUUCCUGUAAUCACGAGUCGUAUUUGCUCUCAUCCUUCGCUUCGCGAUUUCUCUCUUCUUGUUAUCGCAAAAGCUGGGCUGGGUGGCUUUUUUCGUUGUUCGUCUGAAGUUUACAAUAACAACUGUUGUUCACUGUCGCCGUCAAUUAUGAUUAUGCAGAGGUUAGCGUAGGAGGCGCACGACAAUUUCAAUACAACAAUUGUUUACUAGGAGGAUGCAAAGGCCAGGUGAAAUAAGAAGUAGGCUUGGUUUGUUAUGGGUGAUCGAGUGCAUAAGCCCACCAGUGCUAGUUCCACAAAAGAUGUCCAUUAAAUCUACAAACAAAUACCCAUUACAUGGUUUAUACAAAAGAAGUGUUCAUAAUGCAUAAAACAAUGGGAAUUAUGGAGCUUUUACCGAGUUUUUGUCUGCUAUUUGAAUGCACCUGAAGUAAGGAUGAUCUUCUAGUCCCUACUGUGGUCGGUACGUGAUGUGUGAGCAUCUUUUCUAUAUUUUCUUAGCAAUUUAGAUAUAGAUUUAUUAAGUUUUUAUGAGAUUUUUUAGUGUUUGAGGCAUGUUUGGAUGCUACUUUGAUGUGCAUUGUGGUUUUAUUAAUUUCAGGAAAGAUUCGGGCACGUUUGACAGAAUUCGUGCAAAAGAAAAAAUGAAGAAAGUGGAUGCUAUCAACCCUAAUCUCUUUACACUCCAACAAGCAUAACACGAGCUACAGAGAUCUAAUUGAUGUAGUUUUAGGGACAUUGGAAAGCCAACUUCUAGAGCUUUACCACAAUGUAUAAUAGUCUAUACUUUUUUUCCUGGUGUCACGGUGCUAAACGCCAAUGUCGCGGCAUUUAGUUAGAUUACUACCGUAACAUGUGUGGCUCACUACCUCGUGGGGUGCUAAACACCCAGCCAGGCAUUUAGGGCAAGGAAGAUAGAAACAAAUGGGAAGCUUACUACCUCGUGGGGCAUUAAAUACCGAUUCUGGGGUUUAGCGCCAGUAGCGCGGAUCCAACUUCAACAAAAGGGCUUCAUUAGUUAGAUUUGGGUCAUAUUCAUUAUAUUUUACUUUGUUUUGGUUAUUAUUUAUAAACACAAUCUUUUAGGCUUUGGUAGUUAUUAUUUAAUUUUAUUUUCAAAUCAAACUAGGUUAGAUAUAAAAGGAAAAAUAUUUAGCUCUUCGGGCUGGAUCUCUUCUCUGGGACCUCAUUCUGCACUUUCACAUUUUUCGAACCAUAAUUUUCUCUCUAAGUCAUGAGCAACUAAACCUCAUUGGUUAAGGUUAGGAGCUCUGUUUAUUCUA
Long non-coding RNA from Arachis ipaensis, 1693 nucleotides. RefSeq lists it as uncharacterized. Lineage: Eukaryota; Viridiplantae; Streptophyta; Magnoliopsida; Fabales; Fabaceae. The record is from RefSeq and is a predicted model, not a curated record.